GACGAACGCUGGCGGCGUGCCUAAUACAUGCAAGUAGAACGCACAGUUUAUACCGUAGCUUGCUACACCAUAGACUGUGAGUUGCGAACGGGUGAGUAACGCGUAGGUAACCUGCCUGGUAGCGGGGGAUAACUAUUGGAAACGAUAGCUAAUACCGCAUAAUAUUGAUUAUUGCAUGAUAAUUAAUUGAAAGGUGCAAUUGCACCACUACCAGAUGGACCUGCGUUGUAUUAGCUAGUAGGUGAGGUAACGGCUCACCUAGGCGACGAUACAUAGCCGACCUGAGAGGGUGAUCGGCCACACUGGGACUGAGACACGGCCCAGACUCCUACGGGAGGCAGCAGUAGGGAAUCUUCGGCAAUGGACGAAAGUCUGACCGAGCAACGCAGCGUGAGUGAAGAAGGUUUUCGGAUCGUAAAGCUCUGUUGUAAGAGAAGAACGGGUGUGAGAGUGGAAAGUUCACACUGUGACGGUAUCUUACCAGAAAGGGACGGCUAACUACGUG
This 505-nucleotide ribosomal RNA is filed under the name uncultured bacterium. RNAcentral's name for it is "partial 16S ribosomal RNA". It matches the Rfam family "Bacterial small subunit ribosomal RNA", at positions 28 to 507 of the family's 1533-position model. The record is from RNAcentral.